GGGUCUUUAGCUCAGUUGGUAGAGCACUUCGUUUACACCGAAGUGGUCAGCGGUUCGAGCCCGCUAGGACCCACCC
The sequence is a transfer RNA, 76 nucleotides long. It matches the Rfam family "tRNA". From Rfam's summary of the family: Transfer RNA (tRNA) molecules are approximately 80 nucleotides in length. Their secondary structure includes four short double-helical elements and three loops (D, anti-codon, and T loops). Further hydrogen bonds mediate the characteristic L-shaped molecular structure. tRNAs have two regions of fundamental functional importance: the anti-codon, which is responsible for specific mRNA codon recognition, and the 3' end, to which the tRNAs corresponding amino acid is attached (by aminoacyl-tRNA synthetases). tRNAs cope with the degeneracy of the genetic code in two manners: having more than one tRNA (with a specific anti-codon) for a particular amino acid; and 'wobble' base-pairing, i.e. permitting non-standard base-pairing at the 3rd anti-codon position.